Molecule: ribosomal RNA, 301 nt
Filed under: uncultured bacterium
Lineage: Bacteria
Description: partial 16S ribosomal RNA
Rfam family: Bacterial small subunit ribosomal RNA
Source: RNAcentral
CAGCAGCCACGGUAAUACGUAGGGUGCGAGCGUUAAUCGGAAUUACUGGGCGUAAAGCGUGCGCAGGCGGUUCGUUAAGACAGAUGUGAAAUCCCCGGGCUUAACCUGGGAACUGCAUUUGUGACUGGCGAGCUAGAGUAUGGCAGAGGGGGGUAGAAUUCCACGUGUAGCAGUGAAAUGCGUAGAGAUGUGGAGGAAUACCGAUGGCGAAGGCAGCCCCCUGGGCCAAUACUGACGCUCAUGCACGAAAGCGUGGGGAGCAAACAGGAUUAGAUACCCGAGUAGUCCCUGUCUCUUAUAC